GCGGACGGCUCAGUAACACGUAGUCAACCUAACUCGUGGACGUGGAUAACCUCGGGAAACUGAGAAUAAACCACGAUAGAUCAUAGUGCCUGGAAUGGCUUAUGGUCCAAACAGUUUACUGCCAUGGGAUGGGACUGCGGCCUAUCAGCUUGUUGGUGAGGUAAUGGCCCACCAAGGCGAUUACAGGUACGGGCUCUGAGAGGAGAAGCCCGGAGAUGGGUACUGAGACACGGACCCAGGCCCUAUGGGGCGCAGCAGGCGAGAAACCUUAGCAAUGUGCGAAAGCACGACUGGGUCAGUCCGAGUGAUUCCUGAUAAAGGAGUCUUUUGCUUGUCCUAAAAGCACAGGUGAAUAAGGGGUGGGCAAGUCUGGUGUCAGCCGCCGCGGUAAUACCAGCACCUCGAGUGGUCAGGACGUUUAUUGGGCCUAAAGCAUCCGUAGCCGGCUUUGCAAGUCUUCGGUUAAAUCCACCUGCUCAACAGAUGGGCCGCUGGAGAUACUACAGAGCUAGGGAGUGGGAGAGGCAGACGGUAUUCAGUGGGUAGGGGUAAAAUCCUCUGAUCCAUUGAGGACCACCAGUGGCGAAGGCGGUCUGCCAGAACACGUUCGACGGUGAGGGAUGAAAGCUGGGGGAGCAAACCGGAUUAGAUACCCGGGUAGUCCCAGCUGUAAACGAUGCAAACUCGGUGAUGCAUUGGCUUAUGGCCA
This 709-nucleotide ribosomal RNA is filed under the name uncultured archaeon. Its description in RNAcentral is "bacterial SSU rRNA". It matches the Rfam family "Archaeal small subunit ribosomal RNA", at positions 81 to 792 of the family's 1478-position model. The record is from RNAcentral.